This 423-nucleotide ribosomal RNA is filed under the name uncultured bacterium. RNAcentral describes it as "bacterial SSU rRNA". It matches the Rfam family "Bacterial small subunit ribosomal RNA", at positions 26 to 440 of the family's 1533-position model. The record is from RNAcentral.
AGAACGAACGCUGGCGGCGCGCCUAAUACAUGCAAGUCGAGCGAGAAGACGUAGCAAUACGUUUGUAAAGCGGCGAACGGGUGAGGAAUACAUGGGUAACCUACCCUCGAGUGGGGAAUAACUAGCCGAAAGGUUAGCUAAUACCGCGUACGCUCCUUGGACUUCGGUUCAGGGAGGAAAGCGAUACCGUGGGUAUCGCGCUCUUGGAUGGGCUCAUGUCCUAUCAGCUUGUUGGUGAGGUAACGGCUCACCAAGGCUUCGACGGGUAGCUGGUCUGAGAGGACGAUCAGCCACACUGGCACUGCGACACGGGCCAGACUCCUACGGGAGGCAGCAGUAAGGAAUAUUGCGCAAUGGGCGAAAGCCUGACGCAGCGACGCCGCGUGGGGGAUGAAGGUCUUCGGAUUGUAAACCCCUUUCGGG